This 253-nucleotide ribosomal RNA is filed under the name uncultured bacterium. RNAcentral's name for it is "partial 16S ribosomal RNA". It matches the Rfam family "Bacterial small subunit ribosomal RNA", at positions 524 to 776 of the family's 1533-position model. The record is from RNAcentral.
GACGUAGGGCGCAAGCGUUGUCCGGAUUUAUUGGGCGUAAAGAGCUCGUAGGCGGCUUGUCGCGUCGACUGUGAAAACUCACGGCUCAACCGUGGAACUGCAGUCGAUACGGGCAGGCUAGAGUUCGGUAGGGGAGACUGGAAUUCCUGGUGUAGCGGUGAAAUGCGCAGAUAUCAGGAGGAACACCGGUGGCGAAGGCGGGUCUCUGGGCCGAAACUGACGCUGAGGAGCGAAAGCGUGGGGAGCGAACAGG